RNAcentral lists this ribosomal RNA (253 nucleotides) under uncultured bacterium. RNAcentral's name for it is "partial 16S ribosomal RNA". It matches the Rfam family "Bacterial small subunit ribosomal RNA", at positions 524 to 776 of the family's 1533-position model. The record is from RNAcentral.
UACGAAGGGGGCUAGCGUUGUUCGGAAUCACUGGGCGUAAAGCGCACGUAGGCGGAUCUUUAAGUCAGACGUGAAAUCCCUCGGCUUAACCGGGGAACUGCGUCCGAUACUGGUUGGCUUGAGUUUGGGAGAGGGAUGCGGAAUUCCAGGUGUAGCGGUGAAAUUCGUAGAUAUCGGGAGGAACACCAGUGGCGAAGGCGGCGACCUGGGCCAAUACUGACGCUGAGGUGCGAAAGCGUGGGGAGCAAACAGG